CCUACGGGAGGCAGCAGUGAGGAAUAUUGGUCAAUGGGCGCGAGCCUGAACCAGCCAAGUCGCGUGAAGGAAGAAUGCCCUACGGGUUGUAAACUUCUUUUAUAGAGGAGUAAAGUGAGGCACGUGUGCCUUUUUGUAUGUACUUUAUGAAUAAGAGUCGGCUAACUCCGUGCCAGCAGCCGCGGUAAUACGGAGGAUCCGAGCGUUAUCCGGAUUUAUUGGGUUUAAAGGGAGCGUAGAUGGGUUGUUAAGUCAGUUGUGAAAGUUUGCGGCUCAACCGUAAAAUUGCAAUUGAUACUGGCAGCCUUGAGUACAGUAGAGGUAGGCGGAAUUCGAGGUGUAGCGGUGAAAUGCGUAGAUAUCACGAAGAACUCCGAUGGCGAAGGCAGCUUACUAAACUGCCACUGACAUUGAUGCUCGAAAGUGUGGGUAGCAAACAGGAUUAGAUACCCGUGUAGUC
RNAcentral lists this ribosomal RNA (460 nucleotides) under uncultured bacterium. RNAcentral describes it as "partial 16S ribosomal RNA". It matches the Rfam family "Bacterial small subunit ribosomal RNA", at positions 338 to 795 of the family's 1533-position model. The record is from RNAcentral.